RNAcentral lists this ribosomal RNA (212 nucleotides) under uncultured bacterium. Its description in RNAcentral is "partial 16S ribosomal RNA". It matches the Rfam family "Bacterial small subunit ribosomal RNA", at positions 335 to 537 of the family's 1533-position model. The record is from RNAcentral.
ACUCCUACGGGAGGCAGCAGUGGGGAAUAUUGCACAAUGGGGGAAACCCUGAUGCAGCCAUGCCGCGUGUGUGAAGAAGGCCUUCGGGUUUGUAAAUGCACUUUCAGUAGGGAGGAAGGUAGUGUAGUUAACACCUGCAUUAUUUGACGUUACCUACAGAAGAAGCACCGGCUAACUCCGUGCCAGCAGCCGCGGUAAUACGGAGGGUGCGA